This 245-nucleotide ribosomal RNA is filed under the name uncultured bacterium. RNAcentral describes it as "partial 16S ribosomal RNA". It matches the Rfam family "Bacterial small subunit ribosomal RNA", at positions 524 to 769 of the family's 1533-position model. The record is from RNAcentral.
UACGUAGGGGGCAAGCGUUGUCCGGAAUUAUUGGGCGUAAAGCGCGCGCAGGCGGCCGCUUAAGUCUGGUGUUUAAGCCCGAGGCUCAACCUCGGUUCGCACUGGAAACUGGGUGGCUUGAGUGCAGGAGAGGAAAGCGGAAUUCCACGUGUAGCGGUGAAAUGCGUAGAGAUGUGGAGGAACACCAGUGGCGAAGGCGGCUUUCUGGCCUGUAACUGACGCUGAGGCGCGAAAGCGUGGGGAGC